CCUACGGGUGGCAGCAGUAGGGAAUAUUGCUCAAUGGGGGAAACCCUGAAGCAGCAACGCCGCGUGGAGGAUGAAGGUUUUCGGAUUGUAAAACCCUUUUGUUAGAGAUGAUAAUGACGGUAUCUAACGAAUAAGCACCGGCUAACUUCGUGCCAGCAGCCGCGGUAAUACGGAGGGUGCAAGCGUUACUCGGAAUCACGGGGCGUAAAGCGCGCGUAGGCGGGAUAGCAAGUCAGAUGUGAAAUCUUAUGGCUUAACCAUAGAACUGCAGUGGAAACUGUUAUUCUAGAGUAUGGGAGAGGUAGGUGGAAUGCGUGGUGUAGGGGUGAAAUCCGUAGAGAUCAAGAGGAAUACUCAUUGCGAAGGCGACCUGCUAGAACAUAACUGACGCUGAUGCGCGAAAGCGUGGGGAGCAAACAGGAUUAGAUACCCCGGUAGUC
Molecule: ribosomal RNA, 440 nt
Filed under: uncultured bacterium
Lineage: Bacteria
Description: partial 16S ribosomal RNA
Rfam family: Bacterial small subunit ribosomal RNA
Source: RNAcentral